GAUGAAGAACGUAGCGAAAUGCGAUAAGUAGUGUGAAUUGCAGAAUUCCGUGAAUCAUCGAAUCUUUGAACGCACAUUGCGCCUUCUGGUAUUCCGGAAGGCAUGCCUGUUCGAGAGUCAUUAACAACCGUUUCGAUCCCUUUCUUUCAGAAAUUACAAAGAGGAAAAGGGUUUGGUUAUGGUGGAGGAGGGAAAGGGAGCGUUUAGCCUGUAAAAAAAGAGGCUGUGUUCCGCCUCCCCCCCAAAAUUGUACUGGCGGUCGUGUGCGCCCACGCAUCGAGGUGUUGUAAAAGCUGCCACGGCACUUUUCACCUGUGCAGUGCGAGAUUGGCCAGCCGGUUUAAAAACCCCUCCAAACAAUCAAAGGUUGACCUCGGAUCAGGUAGGGAUACCCGCUGAACUUAAGCAUAUCAAUAAGCGGAGGA
Molecule: unclassified non-coding RNA, 425 nt
Filed under: soil metagenome
Description: partial contains 5.8S ribosomal RNA, internal transcribed spacer 2, and large subunit ribosomal RNA
Rfam family: 5.8S ribosomal RNA (bases 1-120)
Source: RNAcentral